CCUACGGGAGGCUGCAGUGGGGGAUAUUGCACAAUGGGGGAAACCCUGAUGCAGCGACGCCGCGUGGGUGAAGAAGUAUUUCGGUAUGUAAAGCUCUAUCAGCAGGGAAGAAGAAAUGACGGUCCCUGAGUAAGAAGCACCGGCUCAAUACGUCCCAGCAGCCGCGGUUAUACGUAGGGUGCAAGCGUUAUCCGGAUUUACUGGGUGUAAAGGGAGCGCAGGCGGCACGGCAAGCCUGUUGUGAAAGCCCGGGGCCUAACCGCGGAACUGCAUUGGAAACUGACGGGCUGGAGUGCCGGAGAGGUAGGCGGAAUUCCUAGUGUAGCGGUGAAAUGCGUAGAUAUUAGGAGGAACACCAGUGGCGAAGGCGGCCUACUGGACGGUGACUGACGCUGAGGCUCGAAAGCGUGGGGAGCAAACAGGAUUAGAUACCCUUGUAGUC
Molecule: ribosomal RNA, 442 nt
Filed under: uncultured bacterium
Lineage: Bacteria
Description: partial 16S ribosomal RNA
Rfam family: Bacterial small subunit ribosomal RNA
Source: RNAcentral